RNAcentral lists this ribosomal RNA (433 nucleotides) under uncultured bacterium. RNAcentral's name for it is "partial 16S ribosomal RNA". It matches the Rfam family "Bacterial small subunit ribosomal RNA", at positions 29 to 507 of the family's 1533-position model. The record is from RNAcentral.
AGCGAACGCUGGCGGCAGGCCUAACACAUGCAAGUCGAACGAACUCUUCGGAGUUAGUGGCGGACGGGUGAGUAACACGUGGGAACGUGCCUUUAGGUUCGGAAUAACUCAGGGAAACUUGUGCUAAUACCGAAUGUGCCCUUCGGGGGAAAGAUUUAUCGCCUUUAGAGCGGCCCGCGUCUGAUUAGCUAGUUGGUGAGGUAAAGGCUCACCAAGGCGACGAUCAGUAGCUGGUCUGAGAGGAUGAUCAGCCACAUUGGGACUGCGACACGGCCCAAACUCCUACGGGAGGCAGCAGUGGGGAAUCUUGCGCAAUGGGCGAAAGCCUGACGCAGCCAUGCCGCGUGAAUGAUGAAGGUCUUAGGAUUGUAAAAUUCUUUCUCCGGGGACGAUAAUGACGGUACCCGGAGAAGAAGCCCCGGCUAACUUCGUG